UUGUUCAAAAACCUGGACAUUCUGCCAAUUUGGUCAUGAACAAAUUGAAACCACACGGCCAAGGCACACGCCUGUAUCCUAUGACUGUGUCCUUCACACAGCUGAGACACAUUACCGUGUCUCUUGCCCGUGUGCAUACUACCAUGGAUACUAACUUGAAAAAUUUAGGUGCAGGGGACACACGGCUGGAUAACACGCCCAUGGGGGUGGAC
This 212-nucleotide long non-coding RNA is filed under the name Gossypium barbadense (sea-island cotton). RNAcentral's name for it is "long non-coding RNA (GBAR_LNC008233)". Lineage: Eukaryota; Viridiplantae; Streptophyta; Magnoliopsida; Malvales; Malvaceae. The record is from RNAcentral.